AGCCUUCUGUGUCCCUGCUGAGAUUUCGUCAAACACCAGACCACAAGGGCUGAUGAGACUUCCAAGAUAAGUGAAGCG
Molecule: microRNA precursor, 78 nt
Filed under: Schistosoma haematobium
Lineage: Eukaryota; Metazoa; Platyhelminthes; Trematoda; Strigeidida; Schistosomatidae
Description: mir-3492 microRNA precursor family
Rfam family: mir-3492 microRNA precursor family
Source: Rfam by way of RNAcentral